RNAcentral lists this microRNA precursor (111 nucleotides) under Ovis aries (sheep). Lineage: Eukaryota; Metazoa; Chordata; Mammalia; Artiodactyla; Bovidae. The record is from RNAcentral.
UUCUGGAUGGCACAGUUCAUUGAUGCUUAAAGAAUGGUUGUCCGUAGUAUGGUCUCUGUAUUUAUGGUGAUUAAUAUCAGAUAGCCAUUGUUUUAGUAUCCAAACGUCCAG